UGGAGGACGUUCCAUACAACUCAUCAGUGGACUGGUGGUCGUUCGGUGUUGUCGUCUAUGAAAUGGCCACUGGCAAGCUGCCCUUUUCACCAAAUGGAACCUUUAAAGAACAGCUGGACAACAUCACUAACACGGAGCCAUAUUAUCCAAAAACGCUUACACCUGAAUUUCGUGACUUCAUACAACAGCUCUUGAAGACGAAGGUAGAACAUCGCCUUGGAGUCUACGCCAAUGCCCAGGACCACCCAUUUUUUUCAUCAGUUAAUUGGGAGACAGUAAAAGAACGAAGCAUGGUGCCCCCUCUAAAACCAAGAAUUAAACCAAUUGAUAUGCUCAGCAACAUUCCCUUCCCAGAAUACAAAAGCAGAAAGACCAGCAUGAACAAGGAAUUCACCUACAUAGAUCCAAGUUGGCUAGACAAGUAAUUGUGCCAUCACCAAGUUCCUAUCAAGUGACCACCAUAAGCUAUGCAGCCAUUCCUCCAUGAUAUCUGCUAAAAGCUGGCUUUUCCCACCUAUUCUCCAUCCAGUGAUAUUGGCUGGCUUCUCAACACACAUACCAACUGACUAAUUUGGUGCAGGUUUGUAGCACUGUGGAUAAGGUAAGUAAGACCAAGGUAGCCGGGGGCUAUUUUUUUAUUUUGUUUUAGGUUUAAAAAAAGAAAAAAAAAAACCUUUUCCUCCUUUUCCCAGUUAUGGUUUUAUCUCUACUAUCCAAUGUAGCCUCUGUACUUUCUCUAAUAGUUUGGUUAGUUACCAAACUCUUAAAUAAGACAAAAUGGGAUUUAUAAGUGUAAAACAAGCCCCUGAUAAUAAUAGGAAGCUUAUUAACUUGCCCAACUAGACCAAUAAUAAAUUAAAUUAAAACAGUGAAGGCACUGUAUGUAAUUUAACAUAGAUACAGAAUCAAUAUUUAUUAAGGUUGUUUUCUUAAUAUAGUAAAAUAUUUAAAAAAGCACAAAAAUAGAAAAAGUAUAUAAGGCUAAAAGUAUAAUGCACACAGUCCUGGUGCUUAUACCCCACAAUUUAAGCAAACCAGAAUAUACAAAAAACAGGGGUAUUCAUUCAAAUGGAUCCACUCAGGCCAGUAAGCAAACAGAAAACUUAUAAAGCAUCUUCAAAGAAGCCAGGGGAAGCAAAAAGUCACUCCUGGUAACUUUAAGAGCUGAAAUUGCUGGAUUGAUUCCCAGCAUUUCCUUUAACUAGGUCUGUGAUCUCUAAUGGUUUGGUUAGACCCCCUUGUUAACAAAAUCUUUAAGAAGACAAAAUGAGAUUUAUAACUGCAAAAAAAGCCCCUGAUAAUAAUAAUUAUAAUAAUAGGAAGCUUGCUAACUUGCACAAAUAGAUCCAUAAUAAAUUAAAUUGAAACAGGGAAGUCACACUAUGUAGUUUAACAUAGAUACAGAAUAGGUAUUUAUUAAGGUAUUUUUCUUAAUAUAGCAAUAUAUUUAAAAAAAAACACAAAAAUAGAAAAAGUAUAUAAGGCUUACAGUAUAAUGCACAGAGUCCUGCUGUUUAUACCCCACACUUUAAGCAAGCCAAAAUAUACUAAAAACAGGGGUAUUCAUUCAAAUGGAUCCACUCAGGCCAGUAAGCAAACAGAAAACUUAUAAAGCAUCUUCAAAGAAGCCAGGGGAAGCAAAAAGUCACUCCUGGUAACUUUAAGAGCUGAAAUUGCUGGAUUGAUUCCCAGCAUUUCCUUAAAUAAGGUCUGUGAUCUCACUAGAGGGAAGGGAUGGGGGUGGGCAUCGCUAGUGGGUUGUGAGUGGUCAUUUAUCAAUUUUUGGCCAAUCACAAUGCACUAGUGGCGUCCCUCUAUUGAUACCACAAACCGCAACCAAGUUUUAAAGUAACUUCCCAAACAGUUAACUUUUAAGCUAAAAGUAAUUUAAUCAGAUAUUCAGCUAGACCCUUAAUUAGCACCAUAAUGCAGCAUUAAAGGUAUAGAAAAAAACUUUUAAUACUGCUUUGAUAAAAAUUGGCUUCUCGAGUCCCAUUUUUAAUGUAGCUUUAAUCCUAUAUUCAUCACCAACAGAAAGACCUAGCCAAAUUUUCCAAUCUAAAUUUCUUCCUUUGCAAUGUCUCUGUGCUUUCUCUAAUGGUUUGGUUAGACCCCCUUGUUAACAAAAUCUUUAAGAAGACAAAAUAGGAUUUAUAACUGCAAAA
This is a long non-coding RNA of Xenopus laevis (African clawed frog), 2165 nucleotides long. RefSeq lists it as uncharacterized. The record is from RefSeq and is a predicted model, not a curated record. The transcript has 5 exons. Lineage: Eukaryota; Metazoa; Chordata; Amphibia; Anura; Pipidae.